AGAUUGAACGCUGGCGGCAGGCCUAACACAUGCAAGUCGAGCGGCAGCACGGGUACUUGUACCUGGUGGCGAGUGGCGGACGGGUGAGUAAUGCCUAGGAAUCUGCCUGGUAGUGGGGGAUAACGCUCGGAAACGGACGCUAAUACCGCAUACGUCCUACGGGAGAAAGCAGGGGACCUUCGGGCCUUGCGCUAUCAGAUGAGCCUAGGUCGGAUUAGCUAGUUGGUGGGGUAAUGGCUCGACCAAGGCGUACGAUCCGUAACUGGCCUGAGAGGAUGAUCAGUCACACUGGAACUGAGACACGGUCCAGACUCGUACGGGAGGCAGCAGGUGGGAAUAGUUGGAACAAGUGGGACGAAAGCCUGACUCCAGCCAGUGCCGCGUGUGUAGGAA
This 393-nucleotide ribosomal RNA is filed under the name uncultured soil bacterium. RNAcentral describes it as "bacterial SSU rRNA". It matches the Rfam family "Bacterial small subunit ribosomal RNA", at positions 26 to 412 of the family's 1533-position model. The record is from RNAcentral.